RNAcentral lists this ribosomal RNA (420 nucleotides) under uncultured bacterium. Its description in RNAcentral is "bacterial SSU rRNA". It matches the Rfam family "Bacterial small subunit ribosomal RNA", at positions 28 to 447 of the family's 1533-position model. The record is from RNAcentral.
GACGAACGCUGGCGGCGUGCCUAACACAUGCAAGUCGAACGGGGUAAUGACUUCGGUUAUUACUUAGUGGCGAACGGGUGAGUAACGCGUGAGAAACCUGCCUUUCAGUGGGGGGACAACAGUUGGAAACGACUGCUAAUACCGCAUAAUGUAUCGAUGGGGCAUCCUGUUGAUACCAAAGCUUUAUGUGCUGAAAGAUGGUCUCGCGUCUGAUUAGCUAGUUGGCGGGGUAACGGCCCACCAAGGCGACGAUCAGUAGCCGGCCUGAGAGGGUGGACGGCCACAUUGGGACUGAGACACGGCCCAAACUCCUACGGGAGGCAGCAGUGGGGAAUAUUGCACAAUGGGGGAAACCCGUGAUGCAGCGACGCCGCGUGAGUGAUGAAGUAUUCGGUAUGUAAAGCUCUAUCAGCAGGGAAG